CCUACGGGAGGCAGCAGUGGGGAAUAUUGCACAAUGGGGGAAACCCUGAUGCAGCGACGCCGCGUGAGCGAUGAAGUAUUUCGGUAUGUAAAGCUCUAUCAGCAGGGAAGAAAAUGACGGUACCUGACUAAGAAUCCCCGGCUAACUACGUGCCAGCAGCCGCGGUAAUACGGAGGGGGCAAGCGUUAUCCGGAUUUACUGGGUGUAACGGGAGCGUAGACGGUCCUGCAAGCCAGAUGUGAAAGCCCGGGGCUCAACCCCGGGACUGCAUUUGGAACUGUAAGGCUAGAGUGUCGGAGAGGCAGGCGGAAUUCCUAGUGUAGCGGUGAAAUGCGUAGAUAUUAGGAGGAACAUCAGUGGCGAAGGCGACUAUCUGGCACAUAACUGACGCUGAGGAGCGAAAGCGUGGGUAGCAAACAGGAUUAGAUACCCUUGUAGUC
This 440-nucleotide ribosomal RNA is filed under the name uncultured bacterium. RNAcentral's name for it is "partial 16S ribosomal RNA". It matches the Rfam family "Bacterial small subunit ribosomal RNA", at positions 338 to 795 of the family's 1533-position model. The record is from RNAcentral.